CUUGUACUUCAGUUUGUCUCUCCAAACUAAUUAGUCCAAUGAACUUCUGAUUACAAAUGAGUAACCACUAACUUCUGAGUUCUGAUUAUGGAGAUAUAACUAUUGCAAUUUCUUUCCAAAGUUCAUUGCACUAAUCAGUUUGGGGAGACAAACUGAAAUGC
This 161-nucleotide microRNA precursor is filed under the name Oryza sativa (Asian cultivated rice). RNAcentral's name for it is "miR2870 stem-loop (osa-MIR2870)". Lineage: Eukaryota; Viridiplantae; Streptophyta; Magnoliopsida; Poales; Poaceae. The record is from miRBase by way of RNAcentral.